Molecule: ribosomal RNA, 406 nt
Filed under: uncultured bacterium
Lineage: Bacteria
Description: partial 16S ribosomal RNA
Rfam family: Bacterial small subunit ribosomal RNA
Source: RNAcentral
AUUGAACGCUGGCGGCAGGCCUAACACAUGCAAGUCGAACGAAUGGCGGACGGGUGAGUCAUGUCUGGGAAACUGCCUGAUGGCGGGGGAUAACUACUAGAAACGGUAGCUAAUACCGCAUACCAUCAGAUGUGCCCAGAGGGGAUUAGCUAGUUGGGGGGGUAACGGCUCACCUAGGCGACUAUCCCUAGCGGGUCUGAGAGGAGGACCAGCCACACUGGAACUGUGACACGGUCCAGACUCCUACGGGAGGCAGCAGUGGGGAAUAUUGGACAAUGGGCGCAAGCCUGAUGCAGCCAUGCCGCGUGUAUGAAGAAGGCCUUCGGGUUGUAAAGUACUUUCGGCGGGGAGGCGUUACCCGCAGAAGAAGCACCGGCUAACUCCGUGCCAGCAGCCGCGGUAAUUC